AGAGUUUGAUCCUGGCUCAGGACGAACGCUGGCGGCGUGCCUAAUACAUGCAAGUAGAACGCUGAAGGAGGAGCUUGCUUCUCUGGAUGAGUUGCGAACGGGUGAGUAACGCGUAGGUAACCUGCCUGGUAGCGGGGGAUAACUAUUGGAAACGAUAGCUAAUACCGCAUAAGAGUGGAUGUUGCAUGACAUUUGCUUAAAAGGUGCACUUGCAUCACUACCAGAUGGACCUGCGUUGUAUUAGCUAGUUGGUGGGGUAACGGCUCACCAAGGCGACGAUACAUAGCCGACCUGAGAGGGUGAUCGGCCACACUGGGACUGAGACACGGCCCAGACUCCUACGGGAGGCAGCAGUAGGGAAUCUUCGGCAAUGGACGGAAGUCUGACCGAGCAACGCCGCGUGAGUGAAGAAGGUUUUCGGAUCGUAAAGCUCUGUUGUAAGAGAAGAACGAGUGUGAGAGUGGAAAGUUCACACUGUGACGGUAUCUUACCAGAAAGGGACGGCUAACUACGUGCCAGCAGCCGCGGUAAUACGUAGGUCCCGAGCGUUGUCCGGAUUUAUUGGGCGUAAAGCGAGCGCAGGCGGUUAGAUAAGUCUGAAGUUAAAGGCUGUGGCUUAACCAUAGUAGGCUUUGGAAACUGUUUAACUUGAGUGCAAGAGGGGAGAGUGGAAUUCCAUGUGUAGCGGUGAAAUGCGUAGAUAUAUGGAGGAACACCGGUGGCGAAAGCGGCUCUCUGGCUUGUAACUGACGCUGAGGCUCGAAAGCGUGGGGAGCAAACAGGAUUAGAUACCCUGGUAGUCCACGCUGUAAACGAUGAGUGCUAGGUGUUAGACCCUUUCCGGGGUUUAGUGCCGUAGCUAACGCAUUAAGCACUCCGCCUGGGGAGUACGACCGCAAGGUUGAAACUCAAAGGAAUUGACGGGGGCCCGCACAAGCGGUGGAGCAUGUGGUUUAAUUCGAAGCAACGCGAAGAACCUUACCAGGUCUUGACAUCCCUCUGANCUUGUUCAUGCAGGAAGUUCAGUAGAUUAAAGGCAUAAUGUCCGGUAUCUUCAAGAGCGAUGAGAUAGUCUUGGUUGAGCUGUCGAAGAGACAGAUCUAAUAGUUCAAAACCAGUUUUAUUAUUUGAAAAAGUGAGUGGUUUAAGAACAGUUUUCCUCGAACAUUCAAGGCUGUAACAUCGUGUUUAUUUUUAGCGACAUCAAUGCCCACAUAAAGCAUGGGAGUACCUCCAGAUGUAGUAUUUCAAGUCUACUUGGUUAUCCACGAAUUUUUUGCCUUGUUACCUUAGACGAGAUAAAACGUCUAUGCGUUAUCAAACUCAUUACCAAUUGAAACAAAAAACUGUGGUUAGAGCCUUUCGGAAAUCGUCAAGCGAUUGGAGGGAAUAAACUAAUCCACAGUGGCUUAUUCCAAGUAUACCACUUGGGCUUUGGCAGUAGCUAACUGCGCUAAAUAUAAUAUAAGGAGAAAUAGAUGGAUUUAUGGUUUUCUGAAGU
This 1501-nucleotide ribosomal RNA is filed under the name Streptococcus pneumoniae. RNAcentral's name for it is "bacterial SSU rRNA". It matches the Rfam family "Bacterial small subunit ribosomal RNA", at positions 8 to 1207 of the family's 1533-position model. The record is from RNAcentral. Lineage: Bacteria; Bacillati; Bacillota; Bacilli; Lactobacillales; Streptococcaceae.